Molecule: ribosomal RNA, 1175 nt
Filed under: Fusobacterium necrophorum
Lineage: Bacteria; Fusobacteriati; Fusobacteriota; Fusobacteriia; Fusobacteriales; Fusobacteriaceae
Description: partial 23S ribosomal RNA
Rfam family: Bacterial large subunit ribosomal RNA
Source: RNAcentral
AUUAAAGUAACAAAGGGCACACAAGGGAUGCCUAGGUAGAAAGAGCCGAAGAAGGACGUGGUAAGCUGCGAUAAGCUUGGCGAAGUUGCAAACGAACGUGGAUGCCAAGAUUUCCGAAUGGAGCAAUCUGUAAAGAGUCAUGUCUUUACACGAAAGAGGGAACCGGGUGAACUGAAACAUCUAAGUAAUCCGAGGAAAAGAAAGUAACAACGAUACCCUAAGUAGCGGCGAGCGAACGGGGUAGAGCCUAAACCGUAUUCAUGUCAAGGAUGCAGCCGUUGUGGAUACGGGGUAGCGGGAAAGAGAGAGAAAGAACUGCAAGCUAUUUCGCAGACGUAAGCAAAGGAACAAGAAAGAUCUGGAAAGGUCUACCGUAGAAGGUGAAAGUCCUGUAUUGGUAGUUUUCUUGCGCUGUAUCUCUUCUCCCAAGUAAUGUGGAACACGAGGAAUUCUGCAUGAAUCUGCGAGGACCAAAUCUCGUAAGGCUAAAUACUCUUUCUAACCGAUAGCGCAUAGUACCGUGAGGGAAAGGUGAAAAGAACCCCGGGAGGGGAGUGAAAGAGAACCUGAAAUUGUGUGCUUACAAGCGGUCAGAGCCACUUCGGUGGUGAUGGCGUGCCUUUUGGAGAAUGAUCCUGCGAGUUACGUUUCAUGGCGAGGUUAAGAAGAACGGAGCCGAAGGGAAACCGAGUCUGAAUAGGGCGCAAGAGUCGUGGAGCGUAGACGCGAAACCCGGUGAUCUAAGCCUGUCCAGGAUGAAGCUGUGGUAAGACACAGUGGAGGUCCUAACCCACCGCCGUUGAAAAGUUGGGGGAUGAGGUAGGUUUAGGGGUGAAAAGCCAAUCGAACCGGGAGAUAGCUCGUUCUCUCCGAAAUGCAUCUAGGUGCAGCCUUGCGUGUUUAAUGAUGGGGGUAGAGCACUGACUGAACUAGGGGGCAUAUAGCUUACUGAAUUCAAUCAAACUCCGAAUACCAUUAUUCAAGAGCGCAGGAGUGAGACCAUGGGAGUUAACUUCCAUCGUCGAAAGGGAAACAACCCAGACCACCGGCUAAGGUCCCAAAUCAUAUCUAAGUGGGAAAGGAGGUGGAGAUUCUUAAACAACUAGGAGGUUGGCUUAGAAGCAGCCAUUCCUUGAAAGAGUGCGUAAUAGCUCACUAGUCGAGAGUCUCUGCGC